AAAUUUUGAUGUAAAUUUUUAAUAUUUAAUAUUUAAUUUGAAUUUAAAUUAAUAUAUUAUAAAGAUAAUGUUAGUAUAUUAAUUUGAUUAUGUUUUUAUAUCCAUCUGAACCAAACACCGACAAUGGGAAUGAUUUAUUCCGAUUCCGAUUCAGGUGAUGAACCAAACAGAAUUAGGUAAUGAGUCAUUCCAAUUCCGAUUCCAGCUUAUUUUGAUUCUGAUUCCGAUUACGACUCCGACUUCGAACCAAACACGCCCCUAAAGUAUGGAAUGAUUCUCCUCUCAACCCACUUCUUAUCUAUAAAAAAAUAAAAUUUACCUACAACCGGUUUAUAAAUGCACCAACCCUAAUUUUUAAUAAUGAAUAUUAUAAAUUAAAAUAUAAUUUUAUAAAUGUGAUUUAUACUUUAUAAAUCUAAAAUUAAAGUGUACAAAAUUUACUUAUACACUUGUGCAUCAAAUAAUAUCCUUCCAUUUAAUGUAGGUAAAAAACAUAU
This 497-nucleotide long non-coding RNA is filed under the name Ananas comosus (pineapple). Its description in RNAcentral is "long non-coding RNA (ACOM_LNC026077)". Lineage: Eukaryota; Viridiplantae; Streptophyta; Magnoliopsida; Poales; Bromeliaceae. The record is from RNAcentral.